CGGUGGCGGCGUGUCCUCCAUCAUCUCCCGCGCCCUCUUCGACCGCAUGCUACUGCACCGCAACGACGGCGCCUGCCAGGCCAAGGGCUUCUACACCUACGACGCCUUCGUCGCGGCCGCCGGCACCUUCCGGGGCUUCAGCACCACGGGCAGCACGGACACCCGGAAGCGCGAGGUGGCCGCCUUCCUGGCCCAGACCUCCCACGAGACCACCGGUGGGUGGGCGACGGCGCCGGACGGAGCCUUCGCGUGGGGCUACUGCUUCAAGCAGGAGCGUGGCGCCACCUCCAACUAUUGCACUCCGAGCGCGCAAUGGCCGUGCGCCCCAGGGAAGAGCUACUACGGCCGUGGGCCGAUCCAGCUCUCCCACAACUACAACUACGGGCCGGCAGGCCGGGCCAUUGGGGUCGAUCUGCUGCGCAACCCAGACCUGGUUGCCACGGACCCGACGGUGUCUUUUAAGACAGCGAUGUGGUUUUGGAUGACGGCACAGGCGCCAAAGCCGUCGAGCCAUGCUGUGAUCACGGGCCAAUGGAGCCCAUCAGGGACGGACCGGGCUGCAGGGCGGGUGCCCGGGUUUGGCGUGAUCACCAACAUAGUUAACGGCGGGAUCGAGUGCGGGCAUGGGCAGGACAGCCGAGUCGCCGAUCGGAUAGGAUUUUACAAGCGCUACUGUGACAUCCUCGGUGUUGGCUAUGGUGACAACCUCGACUGCUACAAUCAGAGGCCCUUCGCUUAACUAAUUAGUUAUAUUUAUAUAACCCCUCCAAACAAAAUACAAUAAGAGCAUCCUCUCUCAUCUAGAUGUUGGAAGUUGUAACUAUGGUUACAUCUCAUAAGGAACUCAAUAAAAGCAUCCAGUAUAGAUGCUUUGUAUUGAGGGCGUGUUUGGUUGAGAAGUCUUAUGACUUUUUCUAGUCCCAGGGACUAAUCAAAAAAGACUCUCUAGUAGAGUCUUUUUCUAGUCCCUGUAGAAAAAGUCCCUCCUGUUUGGUUCCUAGUGACUUUUUCUAGUCUCUGGGACUAAAAAGUCCCUGAACCAAACACCCCCUGAGUUUUACCAAAAAUAUUGGCUCUUGCUUCGAGAUGAACACUAAAUGCUUCUUAAAGAGUUCAAUCAUGGCAAACGUGAUACAUCUAGGUUUAACUAGGUAUGGUGCCUAUGUUACUUAAGGAUCAGGGGCAGAUAAGAUGAUGUCUGGAUCUGUGGAAAUGUAAAACAACUUCGUUGCGCAACACAACCAUGUUCCCCAGUUGCCGAUUCAGAAUCUGUGAUGAUUGAACCUUAGUAACAUCAAAGUCCUCCGCAGAAACGUGAGAUGGUAAACAAGAGUUUGUGCAUCGAUAAAAUAGAACAGAGAAAGAUAUGAGCGUCCUAUGUGAGUAACCAAGAAUAGUAGCAGAAUACAAGAAGUAACAGAUUAAAUUACCUGUCAAAUUGCAACUUUAAUGCAUCAAACUUUGCUCGAAAAGAUCCCAUACUGGUAGUGCACAGAAUAACCACAGUAGGAGAAGCAGCGAAGCAAAGAAAUUACGUGAAUGCAAGAGAACAGAAAGUAUUGGAUGAAAGAAAAUGACACAACAGUGGCGAUGUAGAAUAGGAAGAAGAGUUCGUCAGACAAGAGGAAGGAGAUGAACAGCAAGCAAAGAAGUAAACAUAUAAGGUCCACCCAUAGUCAAAGAAGGAAUAGGGCAAUAGUUCAUACGGCAUAUAUGUAUGAGACCGACAUGCAUAAUCAACCAUAUUUCGACGUAUUCACAACAUAUAUCAAUUACAAGUGGUUUUUCACGAUUUUUCAGUGCACACAAGUGCACGACUCACGGCGCAAAAGGACAAAAAUGCUACACGUACAGGCACAUUGUACAUGUUUUUAUAGGUUGAAGGACUGCACGCUCCUCUAAUUGCCCCCCCCCCCCCUAUUUUCACCGGUGGGCCUGUGCGUCUUAAUCAAUCCACGGCCAAUCAAUGUUAAGCAACCUGUAAAACCCCCGUAUAAGUCCGUACGUCUACCAAAGUUGGCAAAAGGACGCACGUGUGUGCCCUCGCACUUGGACCCAAAUGCGGGUGCGGUUCUCUGUCCAUUUGUUUCAAUGGAUAAAGAGUCAAUUACACCGGUGGUGCUUGAACUUGGCGCAAACGGUCACUUUGGUGCUAGAACUUGCGGCAUACAUCGAACUGGUGUAACAAGUUGGCUCGGGCGUGCAAAUACGAUGCAAACCUUGGCUGUGUACGCCCGAGCCGCUGAUUAGGCGCGCCAACAUAGGAUGGGUCCCGCCGUCAGUGACCCGAAGGCAGACAGGAGGGCGUGUGGCCAUUUUUUGCGUAAACCCUCUUGAAUUAUUAUUUUCCCACAAAAAGGCACUGUCGACGUUGGAAGAUGGCAUUUCAUUUUUUUCGACUCUAUAGCCAGUGGGCCCUGUGUGUACAUACUGAGAAUUAUUACCAAGAAAAAACGGAGGCCUCCACGUCUCGAACGUGCGACCCUUGCCCAUGUCACAGUCUGGCUGCUACACCAUUUAGUCUUCACAACUUCAGAUAAAUUUUUGUAUUCAUCAAUUUGAAUAUUAAAUAUAAGCAGCACAUGUGUAUUUUUCUAUUAAAUAAACAUUUUAAAUGUCCAUAUUUAAUUAACAAUUUUAUAUAAUAGAUGUGUGUAUGUUUAAAUAUUUUUGUCUACUAAUCAUUGUUUGUAUGUCUAACAUUUAUAAAAAAUAAAUAUUUGAACAUUAUUUUAAUUACUUACAUUUCACAAAUAUUUCAAAAAGAAUUAGCGCGUGCAAAUGGGUUGCACUAUCUGCAGCCAAUUUAAGCCCCACAUGUAUCUUCCUUAUACUACAUUAACAGUUGUUAUCCUUGUUAGACAUCAGAAUGUAAUUGAUGCAGUGGCUAUGAGCACGAGCGCCCUAACAGUAGGUCGUCGUGUUGAAUUCUAAAAAAAAGGUCACGUGUUGGAGUGUAGGAGUCUAACAUAUUCCCUUUUAAUUCCAGCAAAAAAAACAUUUUCCCUUUUAAUUUUCACGUCGGGACUCACCUGUCAUAGAACAAACAAAAUAAAAUACCAUCUACCACGUGGAUAGGGUCUUUUUUGUGAGAAAUAAAAAAUGUCGAGGUUUUUCUGCAAAAGGAAAAAAACAGGUCACGCACUUCUAGUCUUUGACAAAGGGCCCCACGCCACGCUGGCGGCCAAGUCAGCGUUGAUUUCGUAUCCAAGUGCGGUUAGCACUAUAUUUGCACACCCGAGUCAAGUUAUUGCACCAGUUUAAUGUAUGCCACAAGUUCUAGCAUCAAAGUGACCGUUUACGCCAAGUUCAAGCACCACCAGUGUAAUUGACUCAUGGAUAAAUGAUAAACUCUGGAAAGGGAAAAUAGGAAUUGCGUUCCAUGGACGUCCGUCCAUGAAUGCAUUGCGUCGUCUAUGGACUAAAAUUCCACAUGCGUGCAUACUAGCACACGCUCUGGAUCAUACAUGGCCAGCUGCUCACCGCUGUACCUCUCGACCGUAUCUAAGCUGCCAAAAUUGAUCCGUCGAUGGCAUGACGAUGUCGCCCUGGAAGAAAGCUCACGAGGAGGUAGAUGGAUAGACACAGGGUCGAUCAUGGCGAUCGAGUAGCGCGCGACACCGAUAUAAAGACGUGCACUCCCCAGCGCUUCUCCCACAACACUACACCUGCACCAGAUAGCGGUCAAGUACUCUGCUUCGUUGCCACGCACGAUGAGAUCGCUUGCGGUGGUGGCCGUGGUGGUAGCCACGGUGGCCAUGGCCAUCGGCGCCGCGCGCGGCAGCGUGUCCUCCGUCGUCUCCCGCGCACAGUUUGACCGCAUGCUACUGCACCGCAACGACGGCGCCUGCCAGGCCAAGGGCUUCUACACCUACGACGCCUUCGUCGCCGCCGCAGCUGCCUUCCCGGGCUUCGGCACCACCGGCAGCGCCGACGCCCAGAAGCGCGAGGUGGCCGCCUUCCUGGCACAGACCUCCCACGAGACCACCGGCGGGUGGGCGACCGCACCGGACGGGGCCUUCGCCUGGGGCUACUGCUUCAAGCAGGAACGUGGAGCCGCCUCCGACUACUGCACCCCGAGCGCCCAGUGGCCGUGCGCCCCAGGGAAGCGAUACUACGGCCGCGGGCCCAUCCAGCUCUCCCACAACUACAACUACGGGCCUGCUGGCCGGGCCAUCGGGGUCGAUCUGCUGAGCAACCCGGACCUGGUGGCAACCGACCCCACAGUGUCGUUUAAGACGGCGAUGUGGUUCUGGAUGACGGCUCAGGCGCCAAAGCCGUCGAGCCAUGCUGUGAUCACGGGCCAGUGGAGCCCCUCAGGGGCAGACCGGGCCGCAGGGCGGGUGCCCGGGUUUGGUGUGAUCACCAACAUCAUCAACGGUGGGAUCGAGUGCGGGCACGGGCAAGACAGCCGCGUCGCUGAUCGGAUCGGGUUUUACAAGCGCUACUGCGACAUCCUCGGCGUUGGCUACGGCGACAACCUCGACUGCUACAACCAGAGGCCCUUUGCUUAAUUAAUUAGUUAUGUAUAAUCUUGGCCCUGGGCAAAAUACAAUAAGAGGGUCAUCUCCUAUCUACAUGUUGUAAGAUGUAACUAUGGUUACCUUUUAUGCGGAACAUAACAAAGGCAUCUCGUAUGGAUGCUUUGGUACGGAAUCUUACCAACAAUAUUGGCUCUUGGUAUGAAAUGAACACUAUACGCCUUUUAACGAGUUCAACAAUGGCAAUAGAGAUGCCUCAACAUUUAAGUAGGUACUAGGAAAUAUGCCCGUGCGCUUGCGAUGGGAGAAAAAUAAUCAGAUUAUGCAGAUGUGGUAGAGAUAAAAAAAAGUCCGAAUCAAAUGUCAGGAUGAGAUAAGGACUUUUAAAAUAUCAUUUCAAAAACUAUGCCUGGAUGUCAUGAUGAGAUAAGGCACUUUUAAAGUCAUUUUAAAAAUUAAAAUGUGAUGGCCUCAUAAUGACUUGAUUUCCUAAGGCACCACAAUGAAAUACUUUUUGGCUGAGCAAACUACAUUGACGGACCAUGCCUGAGCUAUACUGAUGAAUGAUGUGUCUCGUCUUGGCCUAGCGUACUGGUGUUUUUCAUAACGAGUAAAACUAUCGUACCAAAAUAAACAUAGUUGUGUAUGGAGGCAAAUUAACAUUUAGUCAUUUUUAUAUAGUUUACCAAAACGAACCCAUAUAAAGUUGUGUGAAUUUUUUGGGCUCAGCGCUGCUCAGAAAAAGGAAACCUUUUACUUACUCUGAAGCAUGAGACUAAAUAAAAUCGUAAAAACGACCUCUACAGAGCCCCUAAUAAAACCUCUACAUAAGUGACGGUUUGUUUUUUUCGUUAUUUACGGAACUGUUUCAAUUUUUUUAAAUUUCAUAGACAUUUUUUCAGAUUACUGAACAUCUUUUGAAUACCAUAAUUUCUAAAAAAUCAUGAACAUUUUUAGUUUCACAAACAUUUUAGUUAUGUAUAAUUUUGGCCCUGCACAAAAUACAAUAAGAGCAUCAUCUCCUAUCUACAUGUUGUAAGAUGUAACUAUGGUUACCUUUUAUGCGGAACAGAACAAAGGCAUCUUGUAUGGAUGCUUUGGUACCGAAUCUUCCCAACAAUAUUGGCUCUUGGUCUCAUAUGAACACUAUACGCCUUUUAAAGAGUUCGACAACGGCAAUAGAGAUACCUCAACAUUUAAGUAGCUAUUGUGCCUGUGUUACUUUAUGUUUUUUAAUUGAACUAAAACAACAACACGAGUUAUGGAAUGGAGGGAGUAGCUUAUUUGGUUUGGUUGGUUUGGACCCUACUAUUUAGUCUUUGUUUUACUUUUUUUAAAUACCAUGAGCAAAAAAUAUUUCUUAUAAAAAUGAGAAAAACAUAAAAAUAUAUAAUUCCUAUGAAUACAAAAAAAUGUCAUGCUACUUUAUAAAACUGCCAUGUUAAUUUAAUAAAAUUCCAUGAAUAUUGCUUUGCUUUAUUUGGUCCAUUGUACAAAAAUCCAUAAAAAUGCCAUGUCAGGGAAAAAUAAAACUGCCAUGCCAAUAAAAAUAAAUUGCCAUCCUCUUUCUAAGAAAAAAAAUGUCAUCCUCUUGAUAACAAAAAUGCCAUGCCAACAAUAAUAAAAUGUUAGGCUCUCAAUAAUAAUACCGCCAACUUGUUAAUAAUAAAACUGCCAUCCUCCUAAUAAUACAAAUUCCAUACCCUUAAUCAUAAAAAUGCCAUGCUAUUAAUCAUAAAAUUACCAUCCUCUUGACAAUAAAAAUGCAAUGCUCUUAGUAAAUAAAAAUGCCAUCUUGUUAAUAAUUUAAAUGCCAUGGUAUUAUUUAUUAAAAUGCCAUGCUCUUAGUAAUAAAACUGCCAUGUAGAACUUAAGAUUACUGCCAUGUUAUUCAUGGCAUUUUUUUUGGAAAUUAUACAUGGCAAGUUUAGAAAAAAAAACCUGGAUGACAUUACAAACAAGACCUAUAAAUAAAAAUGCACAUGGCAAGUUUAGAAAAGAGGUAAUUUCGCCGGGAGUCACACAACUUGCGCCACAUGUUCAGGUUGGUGCUAAAAUCUUAAAAAUACGAUUUUAUGGUCACCUAACUUGGCUCAGUUGUGCAGAUACAAUCAUAAUAUACAUAUGCGGAAGUAUCCAUUGUGUAUGACCCCACUGUCAGUGACCGAUUACGCUGGGCCGAUUUAUUUUUGCACAAAACAUCCUGAUAUUUUUUAUUUUACAAAAAGAUCAACCACCGUGAUUUUUAUUUAUGAGAAAACUGUACAUAUAAGCGGAAAUUAACACAAAAAAUGGUUCCACCAGAUCUCGUACCCACGACCAACCAGUAUACAACAACACAUACUAGCGAGUACGACCCUUCAAUUCUUGGUGUCUGAUAUGGAUAACGAACCUAUAUGGACUAAACGGGACGCAUGUAGACCUUAACCCAUUUUACACGCGCUGUUCCUUGGAUAUAUUUGUAAAACAUAAGUAAUAAAGUUAUGUUUAAAUAUUUGUGCAUUAAAAAUAUUAUACAUACAAACGAUGAUUAGUAAGUAAACUUUCAAAUAUAAACAUGUGCAUCAUAUAAACAAGUGUUUUAUACAAAUGUGUGUAUACAUAUUUAGUUUUCAAAAUUACAAUUCAAAAAAAUAUUUUAUUCAUGCAAACACUUAAAUAAUUAUAUGCACAUUUGUAUAGUUUAAUGUUUGUACAAUUAAAACUAUUCAUAAUUUAAAAUUUAAAUUGUUAAUAUGAUGUUCAAUCAUGGAUAAUAAAUAAAUUAUGUAUUUAUCUUAAUAUAAGUCAUGAGUAAAAAAUUAUACAUAAGUGAAUAUUCAAAAUUAUCUAGUUAAUGUUUCUAUUCAUAAUUUUGUAUAAUUUAAAUAUAAGCCGCAAGUGUNNNNNNNNNNNNNNNNNNNNNNNNNNNNNNNNNNNNNNNNNNNNNNNNNNNNNNNNNNNNNNNNNNNNNNNNNNNNNNNNNNNNNNNNNNNNNNNNNNNNNNNNNNNNNNNNNNNNNNNNNNNNNNNNNNNNNNNNNNNNNNNNNNNNNNNNNNNNNNNNNNNNNNNNNNNNNNNNNNNNNNNNNNNNNNNNNNNNNNNNNNNNNNNNNNNNNNNNNNNNNNNNNNNNNNNNNNNNNNNNNNNNNNNNNNNNNNNNNNNNNNNNNNNNNNNNNNNNNNNNNNNNNNNNNNNNNNNNNNNNNNNNNNNNNNNNNNNNNNNNNNNNNNNNNNNNNNNNNNNNNNNNNNNNNNNNNNNNNNNNNNNNNNNNNNNNNNNNNNNNNNNNNNNNNNNNNNNNNNNNNNNNNNNNNNNNNNNNNNNNNNNNNNNNNNNNNNNNNNNNNNNNNNNNNNNNNNNAAUACACGAGUUUAUAUUGAAAUGUUUUUAUUUAUGAAUCAUAUUUUUGAAUUAUAGUAUUUCUAACACAAAAGAAUUUGAACAUAAUUUUAUUACUUAUGCUUUACAAAUAUCCUAAAUAUUUCCUUUACUUAUGUGUUACUAAAUAUUUUAUAUAUGAUACACAGGUUUAUAUUUAAAUAUUUUUAUUUACUAAUCAUCAUUUGUAUGUAUAAUAUUUUUAACACACAAAUAUUUGAACAUAAUUUUAUUACUUUUUUAGACAACAUAACUUUAUUACUUAUGUUCUAUAAAUAUCUUACAAAUAAUAGCGCGCACAAAACGGGACACAGAUCCGCAACCCAAUUAAACUCCACACAGUUUUUGUGUAUAUACAACUUCUUAUCCAGAGUACACAAGACUACCUGAAGUGCCUGGUGGCUACACCAGCAGUGUUUAAACUGGUUGUUGCGGGUUCAAGUCCAUCUGAUGUAUCUUUUUUAUGCUAAUUUUCGCAUAUACGUGCACUACUGUGGUCCAGUUUUUCUGUAAGUAAAAAAAGUGAGAGGGUAUUGUGUACAAAUUUGUCGCUAUUUUUGACUUUUUCUCCAAAUAAAAAAAUGAGGGUGUUCUGUGUAAAAAUACAUCGCCGCCUAAUGCCCUCACUCGCUGCUAAGUGGGGCCAUACACAUGGAUACGCCCGCAUACGUGUAUAGCGUGACCGUAUCCGCAUGCUUGAGUCAAGUUAGGUGACCACAAAAUCGUAUUUUCAAAAUUCUAGCACCAAACUGAACAUGUGACACAAGUUCUAUGACUUCCGUUGAUAUUACCUCUUUAGAAAAAAUCUAUUUAAAAAUAGGGAAAUUUUGUUCUUUGAAAACUGAAAAAAAUCUGGAUUGCAUUUUAAAAGGAAAAAAAUCAAUUUAAAAUAAUUUAGCUUCAAACACAUAAAAACAAGUAUAGUACAUCUAUUCACAGAACCUGUUGCAACCCAACUGGUAAGCGUGUCACGCCUCUUCAGCCGAUCUACAUGGCAUUGUCAUUGCGUCAAGAUACGUGCAACAACGAUCGGGUCAUUUGCUGGGGUUGGCCUCCCAGGGAACGGGUGCCAGAGAAAAUUUUCCUCUGGUACAUAAAGCACCCUGCUAGUCUAAGAAUUUUCACAUGAAAAGAGACCGAAUACAAACUUGCCAGAAUAAUAUGUACACAAAUGGAAACACAGAAAAGACAUUGCAUGAGAAUCUCAACACAAAUAGGGCCCUAGUACCAUUGGACUGCACGUCCAUUUCUUAAAUGAAUAGUGUCUAUAGGUCCAUCAGAGCAUAAUCAUUAUUUUUAGGACACUCAUAAGUUUCAAACGUUCGGGAUUUGCCCAUGGCAAAUCAAACAUUUUUCUAGGGGCAAUUUAUAUACGCGAGGGAUGGCAAGUUUAUAGUUUGUAAACAUGGCAAUUCUGUCCCCAAUUUGUUUUAUUGCCAGGAAAUUGCCUUGCUUGUCAACUAAAUUUGCUAUAAAAACAUUCGAUUUGCCAUGGAAAAAUCCUGAAUGUUCGAUAUUUAUCAUUUCCGAAUUUUUAUCGAUAAACAACAGAAAAUAAUGCCUGCACAAAAUAAGAGUGUGCUCUUCCAUCCUUUAAAAUGUGCAAACCACUCAAUUUUGAUUUUUUUUAACCCCGAACCAGGUUCAAUUUCUGGCUUCAGAGUAUGCAAACAAUAAAAAUGCUACACGUUUCUAAAUCGAAAAUUGCACCUAAUAGUGUACAUUUAUGCCAACACCCAUCUGUACAUUUAUAAACCAAGUGUACAUUUAUGCCAACACCCAUCUGUACAUUUAUAAACCAAAAUUGUACAUUUAUGCCAACACCCAACACAAUUUUAUAAUGAGCAAACUAAUAAAGACAAAAAAAUACUAACUAAAAAAUUAAUGUAACAAAUAUAAAUAAUCAAAUAUCUUUAAAACACAAAUACAUAUCUUCUUUGGUUUUAGAUUUUUAGUACAUAAAGCAUUCCAGUCCAAGAAUCCUCACAUGGAAGACGGAAUACAAACUAGCCAGAAUAUGUAAUAUUAGGUGCCAAAUAGAAACACAGAAAAGACAUUUCACACCAGCAAAAAAAGAAAAUACAUUUAACAAGAAUCGCACCACAAAUAAAAAAGCUUGAAGGGUUCAUAACCUAAACACACCAGCAUAACCGAAGUUGGGAUUAUUUUGUCUAAUCUGUAUGCAACUAUGCAUACAAAUGGAAGAAAAUAUAUGUGAUCACACUCCUUUACUUAUUUUGUUUCUACUAGGAUUAUAUCCAAAAUGCACGCACGUCAAAAUCCUUGACAUCGCUGGGUGUGAGGUAGGAUCGACCAGGCCAGUACGGCGAAUAGCGGGGAUGUAAGGUAUGACCGACUAGGCCAGAGCGGCGCAGCCACGAGCUCGCCGUUCCUUCCAUACCUGAUGCGGCACAUGGUCACGCGGAGCAGGCAGUCGUCGCCGUCGCCGUCGGCUUUGGAGCGGCUGGAGCUGACACCCUUGCGCCAGGCCCGCUCGACCAGGCAAAACGGGCCUCUGCCACCUGUGUGGAGGAGCACAGCACGCCCCGUACUCUUAAGCUUGGGCUCCAGGAACGUCAGCUUCUCUGCGGCAAGACUCCAGCGAGGCACCGGCGGCGGGCAGACUCCGUCGACCAGCUUCUCCUCUUCCACCUCUUCAUCCUCCUCCCCUUCAUCCUCCUCUUCAUGGGUCCCUUCAUCCUCCUCCUCUUCCUCCUCAUUCCUGAUCAGGUCCGGGACGUCAUAGGAGCAGAGGUGCUCGUGCUCGUCAUUGCGGUAGCCUUGGCCGUCGCGGGCGGCGUGGGUCUUCCCGACCCACGCGCCCAGGUCACCGUCGUAGUGCGCCUGGGCGCCUGGCCUUCGAACGGCAGGUACCAGGUGCCGUACUGCGUCCAGCUCCAGCACCCCCACUCGCUCUGCGUGUCCAGCGCGAAGGUCCCCAGCUGCUGCACGCUCUGCCGCUCCGGAUCCUUCUUGCCACCCUCUUGCUCCGGUUCUUCCUCCACAAAGCCGGUGCGGUAGUCGCCGGAGCGGCGCCUGACGGAGACGAAUAUAGUGCGCCCGUCCGGGUGCAAAGCGCACGCCGAGACAUAGCUGUCCUUGUAGGGGGUGAAGGGCUCUGUGGGGCCGGGGCCAACCUCCCAGUGGGGCACGGCGUACUCGUCCAAGUUGAGCAUGCUGCUGCUCUUGGAAUCCAAGGUGUACAGAUUGUUGCCUGCGGCCACGGCGUGGUGGCAGCAACCAUCUCCGUGCGGGGGGUCUCUGUUCCCAGUGCGCAGCGUCGCCGUCUCCGUGUCAUACACGAGGGUUAGGCCGUCGCCGUCGUCGGUGGUCACGACAACGUUGCUGCCCAGGGCGUGGAAGCCUGGGUUUGUGCCGAUCGAGCGGGAGUCGAAGCGGAGGAUCGGAUCGGGGAGGCGCCGUGGCUCCACGCCACCGUCGUCGCCGCCGCCGACCAGCUCCCCCGAGCUGAUCUUAUGCAGGGAGAAACCGUGCUUCCAGUCAUCCAGAACAACGUACAGAUGCCGCCGCCGCUGCUCCUGUUCCGCGCCGCAACUGUUGCACAAGUGCGGCCAUGUUUCCGCGGGCACCGGCGGCACCGGGUCGCGAUGUGAUUUACCGGCAUCGGCCGAGGCGUAUGCACGCCAUGUACCGCCCAGCACAAGGGACUGCCGGUGUGCGGAUGCAGGGCGCCGGAGACGGGAGAGAAGCGCAAGCGGCGGCAGAGAUCGAGCGAGCCACAUUGCGUGCGUGUGUGUAGCUCGCUAGGGUUCUGGGUGAGGUUCGUUUGGGUUUAUCCUCUUUUAUUAAGUGUAAAUGGCCUAUAUGUUAGCCCAACUUAUUUAGUAACCUUGGCCCAAAAGUACUGCCUCAAUUAAUUAAAAUUUGAUUACAAAUUAGACCAACCAACAUGAUAUCAUAAAUAAGACUAACCAAAUUUAGAUUAUAGUAAUAUAUGAAAAAAUUUAUACCAUUAAAUUAUUAUUCAAAAAGUUUUUCGUAAUAUAUAUUUUGAAGUAAAAAAUAAUACACUAUAGUUCUAAUUUAUUGGAAUGGAAGGACUAUGUAAAUUCAUGAUCUGGACCUGGUCCAUAUCAUCUCGACUCCAAAGUUUAGCAAAACCACAUCACUUAAAAUUUCAAAAAUUAUGAGGAAACAUUAUGCAUAUAUAAAAAAGAGAGAAGUCCACUUUACAACACCGAACUAUUCCAUUUGUAAAAUUUGACCCAAACAAUUUCAACCCCUUUUGGUGAAAAAAUUCCAACAAUAAAAGUAUCUAGAAAUUUUUGACAUAAUUCUGUAAACUCAAGACUAAUAUAAUGGUCAUUUUGGGAAACUUUCAAAUGUUUAUGCCAACAAAUUUAAACAUAAUACGAAAUUACAAUUUUGGACCCUUUUUGGCCAUUUUUAUUUAAAAAAAAUGUAAGUAUGACAAAAAUUUGGAAGAAAUUCUCUAAAAAUCAAGAAUAGUACUGAUAACUCUAUGCAAGUUUGAGAUAUUUUGCACGGACAGAUUAAAAAAACCAUGAAAUUACAAUUUCUUGUCCAAAUUUUGUCAAAAAUACUGUCCAGGAAAAAAUGAAAUAAUUUUGUGAACUAAAUACUAAUAUAUUGAUCAUUUGGUGAAGGUUUUAGAUGUUUUGGCCAAACAGAUUUUAAAAUAUCCUAAAAUUAUUUUUUCUGUCCUAUUUUAGUCCAUGUGCCGACGCCGUUGCUGAUUGGGAUCCGACUGUAUGGUCAACGGGUCAUAAUCCGACAUGCUCGCCAAAAUCAGGGCCAGAUUUUUUUUUGCAGAGUGCGGUGUUGAUUCUUAGCCGGUUUUAGAGUUGAGGCUUCAUUCUUGGACAAACCGAAUAGUUGAGGGUUUUAAGUGGACUUCUCUACAUAAAAUAGAUAAUAUAAAACAUGAAGCAGGUUCCAAAAUUCCCUCUACAAAAACUAUUACCAGUUAUUUCCCAACAAAGAUCAAGCCGUGGAACCUAGUCUAUAAUUUCGACAAAUUACAAAUCAGAUUCGACAUAAUAAUAGCUAAAAUUAUGUGGAAUUUUGCCAGAAACUGUAUUACAUACAUGAGCAAUUACUCACAUAUUUGCAAAGUAUGUGUGACUUACACAUCUCAGUGACCCUACUAAGUCUGUACAUAUUAGCACAUGGCCUAUGUAACUUCCCAAUGAGGAAGCCUAACAAGAUAUCAGAUUCGUAAUGUAGACUGGCUUUUUUAGCGAUAAGAACCUAGAAUGAAGUUUGUUAAAAAGAGACCAACCCGACUAGCUCGACUAGGUGAAACUAUUGAUUACGAUUGUGUGAGUAACACUUAACGGUACACGAGAUGUUGCAAUGUGUCUCGGAUUGAGGUGUUCACUUUAGGGGGAAAAAGUAUACAUUUUUUUUACUAGGGCACGGAGACAAUAAGAGAAAUUUGGCUCAAAUUCAGACAUACAAUUAUGUGGAAAAAUAUAGAUUACGAAUGUGUGGGUAACACUUUGCUAGCAACCGCUAAUUAAAUUGGAGAUAAUCACUUUGAAUAAAUUGUUUCUUUGCUAUAGAUAGUAACGAGGUAACUGUACUCCAUGGACGCCGUACAUUUUUCUUGGCCAUAGAUAGUAACGAGGUAACUGUAUUCCAUGGACGCCGUCCAUGAAUGCCUGCCCAUGCGUCAUCUAUCUAUUUUUCUGUCAUCCAUGCAUACAAACUUACAAACACAGACGCUCUCGAUCAGCUCACCCCUCGGCCGUAUCGGAGCCGCCAGGUUUGAUUGCUGCCUAGUUCUUGCAACACGAGCGCGACACAUAUAUAUAAAAACGUGAGAUUCCCCACCGCUUCUGGCACGUACACACACUUGCACCAGCCAGCGGCCAACCGAGCUGUGUGUACGAUGAGAACGCUCGCGGUUGUGUCCGUGCUAGCCACGGCGGCCAUGGCCAUCGCCUGCGCGCGUGCCGCACAGUGCAGUUCGCAGGCCGGCGGGGCGACCUGCCCGAACUGCCUCUGCUGCAGCCGCUUCGGCUGGUGCGGCUCUACCGCGGAGUACUGCGGUGACGGCUGCCAGAGCCAGUGCUCUGGCUGCGGCACGCCCGGCUCCUUUGGUGGCGGCGUUUCCUCCAUCAUCUCCCGCUCACUCUUCGACCGGAUGCUGCUGCACCGCAACAACAGGGCGUGCCAAGCUAAGGGAUUCUACACCUACGACGCCUUCCUAGCGGCCGCGGCCGCCUUUCCGGGCUUCGGCACCACGGGCGGCACCGCCACCCGAAAGCGUGAGGUGGCCGCCUUCCUAGCGCAGACCUCCCAUGAGACCACCGGCGGG
Molecule: long non-coding RNA, 14142 nt
Filed under: Triticum aestivum (bread wheat)
Lineage: Eukaryota; Viridiplantae; Streptophyta; Magnoliopsida; Poales; Poaceae
Description: long non-coding RNA (TAES_LNC015510)
Source: RNAcentral